GGAAGGGUCGCAUAGUUGGCCUAGUGCGCGCGCCUGGAAAGCGCGUAGGGGGCAACCCCUCGAGGGUUCGAAUCCCUCCCCUUCCG
RNAcentral lists this transfer RNA (86 nucleotides) under Chloroflexota bacterium. RNAcentral describes it as "tRNA-Ser". It matches the Rfam family "tRNA". Rfam says of the family: Transfer RNA (tRNA) molecules are approximately 80 nucleotides in length. Lineage: Bacteria; Bacillati; Chloroflexota. The record is from RNAcentral. RNAcentral also lists the same sequence under 2 other names.